CAAACAUGCAUGUAUGUAUAUGUAUAUACAUGCAUGUGUAUAUAUAUGAAAGUGUUAAACGCUUAUGCUAUGCAGAUUAGUCGCCCCCAGCUCUCUGGAGAUGCUAGGUUUGAUGUGUGUCUAAAUAGAUUAGGUCACUUCUUUCUCUGGAAUUGGUCAAGUGAUGCAGAAACCUGAAGAGACUCAAAUAAGGGUCAAAAAUCAAUGAAGAAUUCAUCAUUGUUUUCAAUCUGCAGAGGAAUCGGUGAAUUUCAGAGAUCUACUGUUAUGUAAUAUUAUAGUUAUUAAAUAUAAUAUUAUAUUUAUCAAAUAAUAGAGAUAUUGUCUAAAAUGCUAUGAUAUCACACUUUUAUAGAAUUCCCAGCUUUAAAUGUUCAAUUUCUAAAAUAUAUUAUAAUAGAGGAAAUUAGUUAUAACGAACUUCACUUUUCAAUACAGUUUCUUUGGAGAUUUUCUUGUAGUUUUUCACUAUGAUCUGAAGUUCCAUAUUGAUAAUACUGAACUAGAAUUGCAAGGAUCAAAUCCAAGGAAUUCUUAACAACUGUAAUUGGAAUUCAAUUUUUGAAAACAAAAAGCAAUGAAAUUUUUCUCUCAAUUCAAAUUUCCUAUUUAUUUAUUGAACCAAACUUAAUAUCUCCCUCCUUCUUUCUUCCUUUUCUUUCUCUUCUAUGCUUUCUUUUCUUUUUUCCUUUCACAGAUUCUAAUUUAUGAAGAAAAUUUUCAGUUUUUUUCCAAAAUAAAUUUAUGUUUUGACAGAAUUAGCACAGAUUGGUUAUUUCUGUUGAAAAUAUUUUUAUUUAUAAAUCAAUAAAUAAGCAUAUUUUUGACAGAAGUUUCAAGCAUUAUUUUAACAUAGGUUUUCUCAUCAAUUCUUUUGCCCCCAAAAUAUUUAUUUAUAAAUAAAUGCAUUUUAAGAAAAUUAAAAUAGAUUUAUAUAUUUAUAUACAUAAAUAUUUUUAUCAACCAAGAAUUGUUGUAAUACAUCAUUAUAGAUUGUUUUAACACGUGGUUGUUUAUUAACCAAAUUACAUUUAUUUAUAUAUUUAUAAAUUUAUAAACAAAUCUAUUUUCAUAGAAUCGGACAAACAGAUUUUCAAUUUAGCACAAAUGUAUCUUUUCAAAAAUAGAUUCAUUUCUAUAUUUAUCUAUCAAUCAAUAUUUUCUUGUUGAGGAAAGCUUUUAAACAUUUUUACCAUUAACCCCACCAAUUAAUUAAUUCUGUGCUUUUAAUUAACUAAUUUCUUGAUAUCUGAUCGCUAACCCCCAUUACACAUUGUUACGGCAUAAAUAUUAUAAUUAUGAAUAUUUUUCUAUCGUCCAAAAAAAUCACAUCUUUACAAAAAGUAUGAAUGGUGUUUUUGGUUUUCUCAUAAAAAUCUCAGGUUUCAAACUUUUGUAGGAAACAAUUUAUUUCAUUUUUUUCUGAGUAUUUUUUUUCCAUUUCUCUUUUAUACAUUAUUUAUUUAUUUAUUUAUUAAUGACCUCAGAAAUCAUGUUAAAUACACUAAUUUCAUACAUAACACGACACUCCUUACCUGGGUUAUGAACCCACAUUUGUGCUUACCUGUGGGUGGAAUGGAUGAGUACAGACCCCUAGUCUAUGUUUUUAAUGGCAGUUGCUACACUCACACACACACACACACGCACACACACACACACACAAUUUCAAACAUCAUGGAAUUGUCUGGAAAAUUGCAAUGAAAUCCUGAUUCCUUCUCUCGUCUCAAACAGAUCCUAAAGCUGUCUUUCAUUGCUCAUAUCAGCCAAAUUGAUGAGAUGUCACAAUCACACUGGACAAGACCCUAGUCUCCCCCUACAAUUGACCUCACUGACAUCCCGGUAUUUGUAGUCUUGUCUUAAACUAUAGUUUAUCUGCUUUACUCAAUUUCACAAUGCAAUAUUUGUUGUAGAAGAACUGGAACUUGUCAGUGAACCAUUUACCAAGAAAUCUUUAAUUCAUUCUCUCUUGGAAAUUGUGGCCAAACUUCUGCUACAGAAUCAAUGAAUUUUGCUAAUUUGUUGUUGAUAUCUAGAAAAUUGCAGAUAAAGUUAACUUAGACCCUGACUGUUCUGGAUUCUGUAGACAUCACAUCUUUGUCUUUAAUAAAAUGCAGUUGGUGACCAGCUGGCAGAAACGUUAGCACAUCGGGUGAAAUACUUAGCAGUAUUUUGUCUGCCGUUACGUUCUGAGUUCAAAUUCUGCCGAGGUUGACUUUACCUUUCAUACUUUCGGGGUUGAUAAAUUAAGUACCAGUUACGCACUGGGGUCGAUAUAAUUGACUUAAUCCCUUUGUCUGUCCUUGUUUGUCCCCUCUGUGUGUAGCCCCUUGUGGUACAAAUCUGGCUGUGUGAUUAAGAAGAUCUUUUUGUGACCACAUGGUCUUGGGUUCAGUCCCACUGUGUGUCACCUUGGGCAAGUGUCUUCUUCUAUAGCCUUGGGCCAACUAAUGCUUUGCAAGUGAAUUUGGCUCACAGAAACUCUGUGGAAGCAUGGCAACAGUUCAAUGACCAAAACUAGUAAAAGAUCAAAGAUAAUGGUUAGAGUUGUUUUGAUUAAUUCCGUCCACCCUGAAUUUAUUUGGGGCCAUACUGGACAGCAGUAUUGAGAAAUUAUUUUGACAUUUUCCGGUUCUGUUUUCAAAUUCUGCAGGACUGACUGAUACAAUAUUUCAAGUUGACUUGAUGUCUGAAGGUUCAAAUCUUUGUAUUUCCAUCCAAAUUACAAAAAAAAAACCACUUAAAUUUCAAUAGUUUUAAACAUUUCUUUUUAAACGUACACCAAGGAGAGACAUAAUUUACUGUGACCAGUGGUGGGAGCACUGGUAUUCUGUUGGAUUGCAGUGUGUGUUGUUUAGGAAAGAAACCCUCCAAAAGUUAAUAGGGCUGAUCACCCAUUGAUGGAUACCUUAUCACCUAUCUCUAUAUAAAAGCUUCUUGUAUGUUGACACAUCAGAUCUCUCUUUGACACAUCAGAAUCAUUUGCACAACCAAACUGAGUGGUAUUUCUUCUGGCGCUUUAUGUUCUGAGUUCAAAUUCUGCCAAGGUUGACUUUGCCCUUCAUCCUUUCAAGGUCGAUCAAAUAAAGUAUCACUCAAAUAAAGUAUCACUCAAAUAUAGUAUCCCUCAAAUAAAGUAUCACUCAAAUAUAGUAUCCCUCAAAUAAAGUAUCCCUCAAAUAAAGUAUCCCUCAAAUAAAGUAUCACUCAAAUAAGGUAUCCCUCAAAUAAAGUAUCCCUCAAAUAAAGUAUCACUCAAAUAAGGUAUACCUCAAAUAUAGUAUCCCUCAAAUAAAGUAUCACUCAAAUAAGGUAUCACUCAAAUAUAGUAUCCCUCAAAUAAAGUAUCACUCAAAUAAAGUAUCACUCAAAUAAGGUAUCACUCAAAUAUAGUAUCCCUCAAAUAAAGUAUCACUCAAAUAAGGUAUACCUCAAAUAAAGUAUCCCUCAAAUAAAGUAUCACUCAAAUAAAGUAUCACUCAAAUAAGGUAUCACUCAAAUAUAGUAUCCCUCAAAUAAAGUAUCCCUCAAAUAAGGUAUCCCUCAAAUAAAGUAUCCCUCAAAUAAAGUAUCACUCAAAUAAAGUAUCACUCAAAUAAAGCAUCCCUGCAAUAAAGUAUCACUCAAAUAAAGCAUCCCUGCAAUAAAGUAUCACUCAAAUAAAGCAUCACUCAAAUAAAGUAUCACUCAAGUAUUGAACUCAAUGUACCUCCCCCUUGCACCUCCCCCUCAAAAUUGCUGGACUCGUGCCUCAAUUUGAAACAAUUAUUACAUCAUCAUUCAUAUUAUUAUUAUUAUUAAUAUUAUUAUUAUUAUUAUUAUUAUUAUUAUUAUUAUUAUUAUUAUUAUUAUUACUAAGGCGGUGAGCUGGCAGAAUCAUUAGCGAACUGGUCAAAAUGCUUAGUGGUAGUUUGCCCGUCACUACGUUCUGAGUUCAAAUUCUGCCAAGGCCAACUUUGCCUUUCAUCCUUUCAGGGUCGAUAAAAUAAGUACCAGUUGUGUACUGGGGUCAAUAUAAUCAACUCAUCCCCCUCCCCCAAAAUUGCUGCCCAUGUGGCAAAAUUUGAAACCAUUAUUAUUAUUAUUAUUAUU
RNAcentral lists this long non-coding RNA (4089 nucleotides) under Octopus vulgaris (common octopus). The record is from RNAcentral. Lineage: Eukaryota; Metazoa; Mollusca; Cephalopoda; Octopoda; Octopodidae.